AGUCCAUGUUGUGGGUACUUCUUUAGCAUAGUCUUGAGACGUUCUCAUGCCUUAUACAAGGACUCACCUUCGUAUGGUUUAAAAUUGGCGAUUUCUUACCUAAGUUG
Molecule: non-coding RNA, 107 nt
Organism: Gossypium hirsutum (cotton)
Lineage: Eukaryota; Viridiplantae; Streptophyta; Magnoliopsida; Malvales; Malvaceae
Source: Rfam